This 819-nucleotide long non-coding RNA is filed under the name Lathyrus oleraceus (garden pea). RNAcentral describes it as "Pisum sativum (pea) long non-coding RNA (PSAT_LNC030950)". The record is from RNAcentral. Lineage: Eukaryota; Viridiplantae; Streptophyta; Magnoliopsida; Fabales; Fabaceae.
UUAUCAUCUUUUAGCAUUUUGUUUCUUUUAAUAGUUUUUAUGUCCGUGUUUUUUUUAUUAAAUCCAUCAUGCAUGCAAAACCAUUUUAAAAAAUCAUACUUUUCUCGAUUUAAUAUCGAGUCCCUUUUUCACACCCUUGUAAGUCGAUUGCUUUCUUAAGCAUCGCCGCCAACCUCACAUAGCUUACUCUUGGGCUUUCUUACAAUGAGCCGGUUCUCUUGCACUUACACUCAUGCAUUAUUUAUUUGGGUCCGAUUCAAUUGUUUCAUGAUUGUUUUAAUCCCCAUUUGACAAAUGUACCCCACUCCCCCAAUGUGUAAUAAUCCUGUACUAUUUUAUUUCUUUACUUGUUUGGCUGUGAAGUUAGCUACUAACACAAGAAUAAAAUCCACAAUUUCAAAAAAGAUCAAAAAUAAGACUCGAUCCAAUGUCGAGUAUUUUCUCAAUAAACAAAUCAACUCAUUUCUCCCUCCUAUUCCAUCCCAUUUCAAAACUUCAUCAAAUGCUUGAUCCAACGUCAAGCCAUUUUUUCAUAAUAAAAACUCAAAAAAUAUUAAUUCGUAUCCAAGACUUUUUCAAUAAAGAUGGAAAUGGAACGUGGUGUAUACCACGCACUCCUGAGAUUAGGAUUCGAGAUGUAUAUCUCGCCAAUCCUAGCUCUCGCCAUCAUCCAAUUUACCCACUUUGUUCUCCCAAACACUCAAUCAAAUCUUUUCUCCAACACCCAUCAAUACUUGAUCUAGGUCAAGUCAUUUUCACAACAAAACUCAAAAAAUAUUAAUCCCUAUCUAAACACUUUUCAAUAAAGGUGGAAAUGGA